This is a non-coding RNA of Bos taurus (domestic cattle), 43 nucleotides long. Lineage: Eukaryota; Metazoa; Chordata; Mammalia; Artiodactyla; Bovidae. The record is from Rfam.
CCAUGGUGGUGGCUGGGGACAGCCACAUGGUGGUGGAGGCUGG